Molecule: transfer RNA, 90 nt
Filed under: Actinomyces denticolens
Lineage: Bacteria; Bacillati; Actinomycetota; Actinomycetes; Actinomycetales; Actinomycetaceae
Description: tRNA-Ala(ggc)
Source: RNAcentral
GGCCCAGUAGCCGGCGUUGGCGGCGGCGGCGACGAUGGCCGGGUCGACGGUGGUGGGGGUCAUGCCGGCGAGCAUGACGGCGCUGCGGCC